UCCUCCAUAGCUCAGUGGUUAGAGCGUCCAACUGGCACCUGGAAGGUCAUGGGUUCGAUUCCCGUUGGGGAGCUCAGAA
RNAcentral lists this transfer RNA (79 nucleotides) under Desmophyllum pertusum. RNAcentral's name for it is "tRNA-Ala". It matches the Rfam family "tRNA". From Rfam's summary of the family: Transfer RNA (tRNA) molecules are approximately 80 nucleotides in length. Lineage: Eukaryota; Metazoa; Cnidaria; Anthozoa; Scleractinia; Caryophylliidae. The record is from RNAcentral.